RNAcentral lists this ribosomal RNA (254 nucleotides) under uncultured bacterium. Its description in RNAcentral is "partial 16S ribosomal RNA". It matches the Rfam family "Bacterial small subunit ribosomal RNA", at positions 524 to 776 of the family's 1533-position model. The record is from RNAcentral.
UACGGGGGGGGGCAAGCGUUGUUCGGAAUUACUGGGCGUAAAGGGCUCGUAGGCGGCCAACUAAGUCAGACGUGAAAUCCCUCGGCUUAACCGGGGAACUGCGUCUGAUACUGGAUGGCUUGAAUCCGGGAGAGGGAUGCGGAAUUCCAGGUGUAGCGGUGAAAUGCGUAGAUAUCUGGAGGAACACCGGUGGCGAAGGCGGCAUCCUGGACCGGCAUUGACGCUGAGGAGCGAAAGCGUGGGGAGCAAACAGG